GAUGAACGCUGGCGGCGUGCCUAAUACAUGCAAGUCGAGCGAACGGACGAGAAGCUUGCUUCUCUUAUGUUAGCGGCGGACGGGUGAGUAACACGUGGAUAACCUACCUAUAAGACUGGGAUAACUUCGGGAAACCGGAGCUAAUACCGGAUAAUAUUUUGAACCGCAUGGUUCAAAAGUGAAAGACGGUCUUGCUGUCACUUAUAGAUGGAUCCGCGCUGCAUUAGCUAGUUGGUAAGGUAACGGCUUACCAAGGCAACGAUGCAUAGCCGACCUGAGAGGGUGAUCGGCCACACUGGAACUGAGACACGGUCCAGAAUCCUACGGGAGGCAGCAGUAGGGAAUCUUCCGCAAUGGGCGAAAGCCUGACGGAGCAACGCCGCGUGAGUGAUGAAGGUCUUCGGAUCGUAAAACUCUGUUAUUAGGGAAGAACAUAUGUGUAAGUAACUGUGCACAUCUUGACGGUACCUAAUCAGAAAGCCACGGCUAACUACGUG
This 497-nucleotide ribosomal RNA is filed under the name uncultured bacterium. RNAcentral describes it as "partial 16S ribosomal RNA". It matches the Rfam family "Bacterial small subunit ribosomal RNA", at positions 28 to 507 of the family's 1533-position model. The record is from RNAcentral.